ACCGGCAGCUCAAGUGGUGGCCAUUUUUAUUGGGCCUAAAGCGUUCGUAGCCGGUUUGAUAAGUCUCUGGUGAAAUCCCGCAGCUUAACUGUGGGACUUGCUGGAGAGACUAUUAGACUUGAGGUCGGGAGAGGUUAGGGGUACUCCCAGGGUAGGGGUGAAAUCCUAUAAUCUGGGGAGGAAUACCUGUGGCGAAGGCGGCUAACUGGAACGAACCUGACGGUGAGUAACGAAAGCCAGGGGUGCGAACAG
Molecule: ribosomal RNA, 252 nt
Filed under: uncultured prokaryote
Description: partial 16S rRNA
Rfam family: Archaeal small subunit ribosomal RNA
Source: RNAcentral